RNAcentral lists this ribosomal RNA (708 nucleotides) under Escherichia coli. RNAcentral describes it as "partial 23S ribosomal RNA". It matches the Rfam family "Bacterial large subunit ribosomal RNA", at positions 2241 to 2925 of the family's 2925-position model. RNAcentral also lists the same sequence under 1 other name. The record is from RNAcentral. Lineage: Bacteria; Pseudomonadati; Pseudomonadota; Gammaproteobacteria; Enterobacterales; Enterobacteriaceae.
CGGGUUGCGGACAGUGUCUGGUGGGUAGUUUGACUGGGGCGGUCUCCUCCUAAAGAGUAACGGAGGAGCACGAAGGUUGGCUAAUCCUGGUCGGACAUCAGGAGGUUAGUGCAAUGGCAUAAGCCAGCUUGACUGCGAGCGUGACGGCGCGAGCAGGUGCGAAAGCAGGUCAUAGUGAUCCGGUGGUUCUGAAUGGAAGGGCCAUCGCUCAACGGAUAAAAGGUACUCCGGGGAUAACAGGCUGAUACCGCCCAAGAGUUCAUAUCGACGGCGGUGUUUGGCACCUCGAUGUCGGCUCAUCACAUCCUGGGGCUGAAGUAGGUCCCAAGGGUAUGGCUGUUCGCCAUUUAAAGUGGUACGCGAGCUGGGUUUAGAACGUCGUGAGACAGUUCGGUCCCUAUCUGCCGUGGGCGCUGGAGAACUGAGGGGGGCUGCUCCUAGUACGAGAGGACCGGAGUGGACGCAUCACUGGUGUUCGGGUUGUCAUGCCAAUGGCACUGCCCGGUAGCUAAAUGCGGAAGAGAUAAGUGCUGAAAGCAUCUAAGCACGAAACUUGCCCCGAGAUGAGUUCUCCCUGACCCUUUAAGGGUCCUGAAGGAACGUUGAAGACGACGACGUUGAUAGGCCGGGUGUGUAAGCGCAGCGAUGCGUUGAGCUAACCGGUACUAAUGAACCGUGAGGCUUAACCUUACAACGCCGAAGGUGUUU